Molecule: ribosomal RNA, 1641 nt
Filed under: human gut metagenome
Description: bacterial LSU rRNA
Rfam family: Bacterial large subunit ribosomal RNA
Source: RNAcentral
UGGAAAGGCUGACCACAGACGGUGACAGUCCGGUAUUCGAAGCAAGACGAAGCAUAGUGGUAUCCUGAGUAGCGCGGGACACGAGGAAUUCUGCGUGAAUCUGCCGGGACCAUCCGGUAAGGCUAAAUACUCCCGUGAGACCGAUAGCGAACGAGUACUGUGAAGGAAAGGUGAAAAGAACCCCGAGCAGGGGAGUGAAAUAGUUCCUGAAACCAUACGCCUACAAGCGGUCGGAGCACAGCAAUGUGUGACGGCGUGCCUUUUGCAUAAUGAUCCUACGAGUUACCGUCACUGGCGAGGUUGAGUGUCACGAGACACGUAGCCGCAGUGAAAGCGAGCCUGAAUAGGGCGCACAGUCAGUGGGGGUAGACGCGAAACCAAGUGAUCUACACUUGGCCAGGAUGAAGUCCCGGUAACACGGGAUGGAGGUCCGCACCAAUAAGCGUUGAAAAGCUUCUGGAUGAGCCGAGUGUAGGAGUGAAAGGCCAAUCAAACUUGGAGAUAGCUCGUACUCCCCGAAAGGCAUUUAGGUGCCGCGUCGGAUGGUCACCGUGAGAGGUAGAGCGACCGAUAGGACAAGAGGGCUUCACCGCCUAUCGAGUCCUGACGAACUCCGAAUGCUCACGGUCUGCAGUCCGGCAGUAAGGGGGCGGGUGCUAAGGUCCGUCCCCGAGAGGAGAAGAAUCCAGACCGCCGUCUAAGGUCCCGGAGUUCUGCCUGAGUUAGUCUAACGAAGUCUGGUCCCUAUGACAGCUAGGAUGUUGGCUUGGAAGCAGCCAUUCAUUCAAAGAGUGCGUAACAGCUCACUAGUCGAGGGUCCGGGCAUGGAUAAUAAUCGGGUAUAAGGCAGACACCGAAGGCGCGGGAUAGCAAUUUUAAAAGUAUCGGUAGGGGAGCAUACUCACAGCGUCGAAUGGUGUACGUAAGUUAUCCUGGAGCGGUGAGUAAAGCAAAUGUAGGAAUAAGUAACGAUAAGGAGGGUUAGAUUCCCUCCCGCUGUAAGACCAAGGUUUCCCGGGCAAUGCCAAUCAGCCCGGGGUCAGUCGGGUCCUAAGUCUAAGCCGAACGGCGAUGGCGAUGGCAGAGACGGUUAAUAUUCCGUCACUGCCGCAUGGGGCGACGUGGAGACGGAGCAGUGAAACCACCGCGGGGCGACGGAAGUCCCCGUUGAAGGGUGUAGGUGUUGAGGAUGGCAGGCAAAUCCACCAUCCGAGCUGAACUUGAGAGUACGGAGUCCUCUUCGGAGGAAUCUGAUAGUGUGGGUAAUCAUACUCCCGAGAAAAUCCGCUAAGCUUAACCCAUGCGGCACCCGUACCGCAAACGGACACACGUGGUCGGGUAGAACAUACUAAGGCGUUGAGAGAUUCAUGGUUAAGGAACUAGGCAAAUUGACCCUGUAACUUCGGGAUAAAGGGUCCUCGUGAUGAGCGAGGCGCAGAGAAUAGGUCCAGGCAACUGUUUAACAAAAACACAGGGCUGUGCAAACUCGAAAGAUGACGUAUACAGCCUGACACCUGCCCGGUGCCGGAAGGUUAAGAGGAGAUGUCACUCGCAAGAGGAAGCAUUGAAUUGAAGCCCCGGUAAACGGCGGCCGUAACUAUAACGGUCCUAAGGUAGCGAAAUUCCUUGUCGGGUAAGUUC